RNAcentral lists this long non-coding RNA (1648 nucleotides) under Mus musculus (house mouse). Its description in RNAcentral is "predicted gene 11747". The record is from RNAcentral. Lineage: Eukaryota; Metazoa; Chordata; Mammalia; Rodentia; Muridae.
GAGUGAAGGAGGAAGAUGGAGGGAUCAGGGAGUCUCCAUUAGAUAUGAUGGACCAGGAGCCCAGGCCCGAGCCAAAUGGACCCUGAGGACAGGCUGAUGGAGUAGAAAUAUCCCAGGAAGACACAAACAAAACCCAUGAUAUUUGCUUACUUGUGUCCAGGAAUGGGAACACACAGGGGCUGUGCUCUGGAACACCCUGUGGCCACGGGACAACACAGCACAGGGUCGUCUAAGGCUGUGUACACAGAAGGAGCUGGAGGCCCCCCAAUAUCCUCACAGGCUCCCCGCCCAAUGAUUUCAUCUGCCGGCAGCUCUCUGCUUAGAGUAGCAGCCAGAUCUGGGAUCGCACCGUCCUUUGGGAUUCCCAGUGGCCAAGGGCAUCUUGUCAAAAGCCAAAACUUUGGAAGCCAAGGCCAAGGAAGCCAGGAUGGAGCAGAGAGAAAAUGGGGUCAGCCCGGGGCAGGACUCCAGUGUCUGUAGAAUGCAGGGAUAGGUCAGGGUGCCAGGCAAGGAGGUCAGCAGUCCACAAAAGCUCCACAGGAGUGUCCACUAGGGCUCAGAGGCUGGCUUGACCAGGUAGCCACUGAAGGUGAUGUAGGUGUCGAACUCGUCACUGAAAAUGGCGUUCUCACGCUCGCCCUUGAAGAGACGCACCCAGACCUCAUCCUCCUCCCGCAGCUCCAUCAUCAGGCUCUGACUCUGCAUGAUGCUGCGGUCGCUCACCUGCGCAUACAGGAUCACCACCUCCUCCUCGUUCUUCAUGAUGUGCAGGACCCGGGAGACGGCCUGAUUGACAGCAGCUACUUAAUGUUUGCUGAAUGAAAACAGAGAAGAGGAAGAAGAAACAAAGGGUUUUGGGUUUUUGGCACCAAAUUCUGCCCGGAAACUUGGGUGUUAAGUUGAGCCAAUGGGCAGGAAAGCCCAAGUCAGCAUGGAGCCUUGUGCAUGCCUCUCAUUUGAAGACCCUACAAAAUAUUUCCCCACAGUCUUAGGUCUGCUGAGGGUCACAUGCAUGAAGACAAGGGACUGCCAUCCUCAAGUCCUUUAUAACUUCUCAAGAGAAGCUGAUGCCUGGUCUGCCGGUCCAUCCUUACCGGCUCAUUCCUAGCCUGGUACGCAGACAGAGAGGGAGAGGGGUCACAGUAAAGGUGUGGAAUUUUCCAAGAUGGCUUUUUCCUCGCCCUCCUGACUUGAGACAAAAGCGUGGCAGCUUAAAACAAAGGUUUUGUUGUCUUGGUAUCCAAACCAGCAGACUUCUGUUGUUGAACUCGCUCAACAAGCUCAAGGCCAGAUCAGGAUAUGCUACCUUACAGUCACAGGCCAGUCUACCGCCCCAGCCCUUGAGAAGAGACUGGACUUUUUGGCUUUCUGGGUUCCCUCUCUGCUUUGCAUAGGGUCUUUUCUUUGUGUGUCAGCUGCGUGUGUUUCCUCGCUCGCCAACAAACGCCUUUCUUCAGCUGUUGCCGCUGUCUGUGGCGUUUGAGACUUCUUUUCUGAGGUCGCUUGUGCUUGAGAUUCUUCCUGGUUUUUUUGUUUUUUGUUUUUUUUUUGUUUUGUUUUGUUUUUUAGUUCGUUAACUGGCAGAGAAAAUGAGCCUGAGUGAGCCUUCUAGACUGUAUCACUGCUUUAUAAAUGAGUAAGUUGCUUG